RNAcentral lists this ribosomal RNA (376 nucleotides) under uncultured Fusibacter sp. RNAcentral's name for it is "bacterial SSU rRNA". It matches the Rfam family "Bacterial small subunit ribosomal RNA", at positions 1006 to 1382 of the family's 1533-position model. The record is from RNAcentral. Lineage: Bacteria; Bacillati; Bacillota; Clostridia; Eubacteriales; Fusibacteraceae.
UCGAGAUUUUGCCUCGGGUACAAUUGAGACAGGUGGUGCAUGGUUGUCGUCAGCUCGUGUCGUGAGAUGUUGGGUUAAGUCCCGCAACGAGCGCAACCCUUGUGUUUAGUUGCAAACAGGUCAAGCUGUGCACUCUAGACAGACUGCCGUGGACAACACGGAGGAAGUGGGGAUGACGUCAAAUCAUCAUGCCCCUUAUGAUCUGGGCUACACACGUGCUACAAUGGCCGGUACAACGGGCAGCGAAGGAGCGAUCCGGAGCGAAUCCUAAAAAGCCGGUCCCAGUUCGGAUUGCAGGCUGAAACUCGCCUACAUGAAGUUGGAGUUGCUAGUAAUCGCGAAUCAGAAUGUCGCGGUGAAUGCGUUCCCGGGUCUU